AGAGUUUGAUCAUGGCUCAGGAUGAACGCUAGCGGCAGGCCUAAUACAUGCAAGUCGGACGGGAUCCGGGAGUAGCUUGCUACUUCCGGUGAGAGUGGCGCACGGGUGCGUAACGCGUGAGCAACCUGCCCAUAUCAGGGGGAUAGCCCGGAGAAAUCCGGAUUAACACCGCAUGACACGCCGGGACGGCAUCGUUCCGGCGUCAAAUAUUCAUAGGAUAUGGAUGGGCUCGCGUGACAUUAGCUAGUUGGUGGGGUAACGGCCCACCAAGGCGACGAUGUCUAGGGGCUCUGAGAGGAGAAUCCCCCACACUGGUACUGAGACACGGACCAGACUCCUACGGGAGGCAGCAGUAAGGAAUAUUGGUCAAUGGGGGCAACCCUGAACCAGCCAUGCCGCGUGCAGGACGACUGCCCUAUGGGUUGUAAACUGCUUUUGCCGGGGAAUAAACCCCACUACGUGUAGUGGGCUGAACGUACCCGGAGAAUAAGGAUCGGCUAACUCCGUGCCAGCAGCCGCGGUAAUAC
Molecule: ribosomal RNA, 527 nt
Filed under: uncultured bacterium
Lineage: Bacteria
Description: bacterial SSU rRNA
Rfam family: Bacterial small subunit ribosomal RNA
Source: RNAcentral